This 74-nucleotide transfer RNA is filed under the name Candidatus Propionivibrio aalborgensis. It matches the Rfam family "tRNA". Rfam says of the family: Transfer RNA (tRNA) molecules are approximately 80 nucleotides in length. Their secondary structure includes four short double-helical elements and three loops (D, anti-codon, and T loops). Further hydrogen bonds mediate the characteristic L-shaped molecular structure. tRNAs have two regions of fundamental functional importance: the anti-codon, which is responsible for specific mRNA codon recognition, and the 3' end, to which the tRNAs corresponding amino acid is attached (by aminoacyl-tRNA synthetases). tRNAs cope with the degeneracy of the genetic code in two manners: having more than one tRNA (with a specific anti-codon) for a particular amino acid; and 'wobble' base-pairing, i.e. permitting non-standard base-pairing at the 3rd anti-codon position. Lineage: Bacteria; Pseudomonadati; Pseudomonadota; Betaproteobacteria; Rhodocyclales; Rhodocyclaceae. The record is from Rfam by way of RNAcentral.
GGGCCUGUAGCUCAGUUGGUUAGAGCAGAGGACUCAUAAUCCUUUGGUCCACGGUUCAAAUCCGUGCGGGCCCA